AGAGUUUGAUCCUGGCUCAGAAUGAAACCUGGCGGUGUGCCUAACACAUGCAAGUCAAACGACAAUUUAUUUGGAGUGGCGGACGGGUGAGUAACACGUAAGAACCUACCUUUAGGAGGGGGAUACCAUCCCGGGAAACUGGUGCUAAUACCCCAUAUGCUGAGAAGUGAAAUGGUAUUUAACCGCCUAGAGAGGGGCUUGCGGCUGAUUAGCUAGUUGGUGGGGUAAUGGCCUCCCAAGGCGACGAUCAGUAGCUGGUUUGAGAGGAUGAUCAGCCACACUGGGACUGAGACACGGCCCAGACUCCUACGGGAGGCAGCAGUGAGGAAUUUUCCGCAAUGGGCGAAAGCCUGACGGAGCAAUACCGCGUGGAGGAAAAAGAAGACCUGUGGGUUGUAAACUCCUUUUCUCAGAGAAGAAUACUGACGGUAUCUGAGGAAUAAGCACCGGCUAACUAUGUGCCAGCAGCCGCGGUAAUACAUGGGGUGCGAGGUUUAUUCGGAAUGAUUGGGCGUAAAGCGUUCGUAGGUGGUUUCACGAAGUCCACUGUCAAAGAUCAGGGCUUAACCUUGGGCA
This 576-nucleotide ribosomal RNA is filed under the name uncultured bacterium. RNAcentral describes it as "bacterial SSU rRNA". It matches the Rfam family "Bacterial small subunit ribosomal RNA", at positions 8 to 621 of the family's 1533-position model. The record is from RNAcentral.